Molecule: long non-coding RNA, 3641 nt
Organism: Myotis daubentonii (Daubenton's bat)
Lineage: Eukaryota; Metazoa; Chordata; Mammalia; Chiroptera; Vespertilionidae
Source: RefSeq, a predicted model, not a curated record
GAGUGACCCUUAGCUUCACCUGGGGGAACCGUCCCCAGAAUUAAUGCCCAUCCUCCCCCUGGCAGGUCCUCUCCUCCUCGAGGCUGGUCAGGGCCCCCGCUCCCUGGUUCCUGGCCAGCAGGGCUGUGUCAUCGGGGCCCAGGCCUUGCCCUCUGGAGCCUUGGUCUCUCUGGCUGCCGAAUGGGAGGGGGAGGGGGCGGAGGAGGGCUGAGCCGGCCUCUUCUCUGGCUGCUCUGUGAGCCCAGAGUCCUGAUCCCAGAGACCCAUCUACCCUCCACGGCCCCCGCUUGGCAUCAGUCCCUGGCGGGCCAGGGAGGCAGAGCCGGGAAGGCGCCCAUGGCCCCCUCCAGCCGCGGCAGGGAGGCCCAGUCGGCUCUGCCAAGGGAGGACCGGGAGGACUCAGAGCCCCGGGGGCAGGAGGGAGGGCAGGCGGGUGCAGGGCAGGGCCUUUGUGCUGCCCGGGAAGCCGCCCUCCAUCCCCACUGGCCUGCUUGGCAAAGCUGACGGCAGGAAGAGCCCGUCGGCCAUCCGUCAGGGAGACGGAGUGGGCUGUGCGAGGAGGGAGCCGGGAAAUUUGAUCAUUAAGAAACCCUCCUGGCUGUCUGGGGGAAUUUAAUUAAAUUGCUGCGGAGGGCGGUGAGAGAGGGCCACAUCUGGAACCAAUAUGUGGGCUUUGAUUUCCUCUCUCCCCCUCCCCCUCCCUCGCUGCCGCUCCCCAGCUCACUGUGAACGGAACACAGUAGACCCUGGGGGAUUGGUUCCUCUGGGGCGGAAUUCCUGGCCGACAGACAGAGGGACACCGGACGCUGUGCCCUGGGAUUGGCUGUGGGGGCUUUAGCUGUGACAGGAGGUUACUUCGCUUGAUUCUCGCAACAACCCCGCAAGGUAGGUGCCGUUGUUACCUCCAAUUUGCCGAUGAGGAAACCCAGAGAGGUGAAGUGACCCAAUCCAUGUCGUGCUGCGGGAAAGUGUCAAACGCAGAGCCAGCGCAUCAGAAAGAUUUAAAACAAAAACUGGGAAAACAAAACGGUCACGUGGUAGGAGACGAAAAGAGAAGCUAAGACCCAGACUUGCCACCUGGACUGACAGAGUUGCUGUGAUUCCGUGCCUUCACAUGAGCGAAGGGUUUCCUGGUGGCCCCGGCAAGAAGGGGAAUGCAAUGGGUUGCUCAAGUUUCAUUAUUUCGUUUUUCUUUGUUUUUUCCCCAAGAGAAACAAAUGACUUGCCAGCCCUAAGUUCUCCCGGAACAACUUGGUGUGACGGGUAGGAGCCCGACAAGCUUACCGGGGCACAGAGCUGAAGCUCUCCGAGCCUGGGUCCCCUCCUCGCCCGUCACCGGGAGGGUGUUGUGAGGUCACGCGGUUCGGGGCGCUGCCUGGCUUACGGCAAGGCUCAUGAAAGAAGAGCCCCUGCUACUACUAGUAAACAUGUUUCAAAGGGGAAUAAUAUUCCACGCCUCGCCAAGGGCUGAGAACCAGUCACUGCAGCGGGAGACCCCCAGGAGGGAAACUGAGGCUGGGAGAUGCUUGGGCAGAGAGCUGAGGAGACCGCCAGCUGGCCCAUCCCGUGGAGCUCGCCUCCGCUUCCCACAGGGCGGACUGGGGUCUGGGAUGAGCAGGGAGCCCCGCUGUGAUUGCAGCCUGACACAAUAUUUACAGAACCCCGUGCUCUGCUGCGGUCCUGCCUGGUCACGUCUGAGCCCCCUCGGCCUCCGUGCUUAGAACUCCUCAGAACACGAUUUGGCCUGUGUGCCUCCACGUGCUGCUCCCGCUAAGCCGUCUCCUUCAACGGAGGCUCUUGGGUGUGUGGCCAUGGUGGUGACCAGGGGGCCAGAGGGGCUGCAGGAUUCCACGCUGGGCUUGGCCUCUGUUUUCCCAUCUGUGAAACGGGCCUGGUCGAUGAGUGAUUGCCAGUCAAGUGUCUUGCAGGGGUUGUUGUGGUAAAGAAUGACACUAAUAUAACUCCACAAAAAAUAGAGAGAACCCCCUGGCUGAGUGGCUCAGUUGGUUGGAGUGUUGUCCUGUACCCCAGAAGGUUGUGAGUUCGAUUCCCAGUCAAGGUACAUAGCUAGGUUUUGGGUUUGAUUCCUGGUCAGGGUGCAUACAGGAGGCAACUGGUCAAUGUUUCUCUCUCUCUCUCCCCCCCUUUCUUCCUCUCUCUCUUAAAAAAAAAAUCAAUAAAAACAUAUUCUCAGGUGAGGAUCAAAAAUAAAUAAAGAGAACCAUUUCAGUAGAAAAUGAGUAGUGGAUAUACAUAGGCUAUUACAAAUAAGAAAUGCAAGUGGCUAUUAAAUACCAAAAAAAACUUUACCUUCAGCCCUGGCCAGCGCUGGUCAGUGGUUAGAAGGGUUGCAGGUUGGAUUCCUGGUCAAGGGCACGUGCCUGGGUUGCAGGUUUGAUCUCCGGCCCUGGUUGGGGCGCAUUCAGGAGGCAACCAAUCGAUGUGUCUCUCUCACACCGAUGUUUCUUUCUCUCUCUCUCCCCACUUCCUUCUACUCUCUCUAAAAAUCAAUAUCCUCAGGUGAGGAUUAACAACAACAACAAGAAUUACCUUCAGAAAUGAUUCCAGGUUUGCAGAUUAAAACACGGAAAUGCCUUUUGAAAUUAAACAUCAACUGUUACGACCGCUCCUCCUGGGCGCUGCCUAUGGAGAUGCCAGCCCUCUCCUCCUGGCAUCACGCACCCUCAGGCCCCGUGACCACUCAGGCCAUCACGAAGAGAACCGCGUUCAAAAUGGAGCGUAACUGGCAGAAGCUGAGGCACGGACAGCAGGAUGCGGGCAGAUCCAGCGGCUGUUCGCCAUCCUGACGGCGGUGACGGGAGCAGCAAGAAAACGAAACACAUGCUCCCCCCGGCUCCCGGGAGUUCUCGUGUGCAGUGCCAGGAGCAGGAAGUAGCCACGCCGCUGGUGGGCAGCAGACCGCGCUGGGGGCUGUUUCCACGACGCUUCCUCUGAGAACCGCAAAGCUGUGGCGGAGGAGCAGCCAGCCAUCAGCGUCGCCUGCCUCCCACGCCCAAAUACCCUAUUUCUAGGUAUUUAUUAUAAAGAAAACAAUGAUGGGUGUACAGCAAUAGUGAGCAAUGUGUCGCCAGGCCUUCACUGAGAGCAGGGGGUGGCCCUGGCCCGUGUGGCUGUCACUUGAGCGUCACCCCACGUGCACUGAAAGGCCGCCAGUUCCAUUCCCCGUCAGGGCACACGCCCGGGUUGCGGGCUCGAUCCCCACUAGGGGGCGUGUGGGAGGCAGCUGAUCAAUGAUUCUCUCUCGUCAUGGAUAUUUCUCUCUCUCCCUCUCCCUUCCUCGCUCUCUAAAAAUCAACUUUAAAAUCUAAAAAAACAAACAAAAGAAAAAAACACCCAAACCAACCAACUGAAUAAACAAAACACAGUGGUGGGCACGACUAAUGACGCAGUAAGCAAUUAUUAGAAAGCUGGCAGCACAUGGUUCAGCUUCCAUAAUCAUGUGGCUCUCUCUCCAUCUAUCUAGAAUAUAGAUAUAAGCUAGAAAGAUAUACUCUAAAGUUGAAAGGAAUAGCCUAAAAGUUCCUUUUCUUGUGUGAUUGCUUUUUCUAGGUCUCCAAUUCGAUACUGAAUAAAUAAAUGAUUAUCUCCAAUCUCUGUCAUUAACCAGCUUUAAAAAAAUG